GACGAACGCUGGCGGCGUGCUUAACACAUGCAAGUCGAACGGAAAGGCCCUGCUUUUGUGGGGUGCUCGAGUGGCGAACGGGUGAGUAACACGUGAGUAACCUGCCCUUGACUUUGGGAUAACUUCAGGAAACUGGGGCUAAUACCGGAUAGGAGCUCCUGCUGCAUGGUGGGGGUUGGAAAGUUUCGGCGGUUGGGGAUGGACUAGCGGCUUAUCAGCUUGUUGGUGGGGUAGUGGCUUACCAAGGCUUUGACGGGUAGCCGGCCUGAGAGGGUGACCGGCCACAUUGGGACUGAGAUACGGACCAGACUGCUACGGGAGGCAGCAGUGGGGAAUAUUGCACAAUGGGCGGAAGCCUGAUGCAGCAACGCCGCGUGCGUGAUGACGGCCUUCGGGUUGUAAACCGCUUUCGCCUGUGACGAAGCGUGAGUGACGGUAAUGGGUAAAGAAGCACCGGCUAACUACGUG
Molecule: ribosomal RNA, 468 nt
Filed under: uncultured bacterium
Lineage: Bacteria
Description: partial 16S ribosomal RNA
Rfam family: Bacterial small subunit ribosomal RNA
Source: RNAcentral